GAGAAGGUGGCUCAGUGGUAGAGUGCUUGCCUUGCAUGCAUGAGGCUCUGAGUUCAAUUUUUCAGCAUUAUAU
This is a non-coding RNA of Dipodomys ordii (Ord's kangaroo rat), 73 nucleotides long. The record is from Rfam. Lineage: Eukaryota; Metazoa; Chordata; Mammalia; Rodentia; Heteromyidae.